RNAcentral lists this long non-coding RNA (1470 nucleotides) under Medicago truncatula (barrel medic). RNAcentral's name for it is "long non-coding RNA (MTRU_LNC000013)". Lineage: Eukaryota; Viridiplantae; Streptophyta; Magnoliopsida; Fabales; Fabaceae. The record is from RNAcentral.
GUAGACAUAUGGUGGUGGAGGUGAAGGAGAGGGAGGAGGUGGAGAGUUGUAGACAUAAGAAAGGGGUAGCGAUGCAUAUGGUGGUGGAGGAGAUUUGUAAACAUAUGGAGGCGGUGGUGAAGGAGAGGGAGGUGGAGGAGAUUUGUAGACAUACGGUGGAGGAGGUGAGGGAGAAGGAUGUGGUGGUGACUUGUGCACAUAAGGCGGAGGUGGUGAUGGGGAUGGUGGUGGUGGGGACUUGUAGAUGUAAGAAAGGGGUAGUGAUGCAGAUGGUGGAGGAGGAGACUUGUAGACAUAUGGAGGUGGUGGUGAAGGAGAGGGAGGUGGAGGAGAUUUGUAGACAUAUGGUGGAGGAAGUGAAGGAGAAGGAGGUGGUGGUGACUUGUAAAUAUAAGGUGGAGGUGGUGAUGGGGAUGGUGGUGGUGGGGACUUGUAGAUGUAAGAAAGGGGUAGUGAUGCAGAUGGUGGAGGAGGAGACUUAUAGACAUACUUAGGUUGUGGUGAUGGAGAGGGAGGUGGAGGAGAUUUGUAGACAUAUGGCGGAGGAGGUGAAGGAGAGGGAGGUGGUGGUGACUUAUAAAUAUAAGGUGGAGGUGGUGAAGGAGAUGGUGGUGGUGGAGAUUUGUAUGUAUAUAAUGGAGCUAAUUUGGGGUAGAGGUGUGCGUGUUUUGCAUGAUGUGGGGUGUAUUGUGAUUGUGGAUAUUUUGCAUGUUUUGGAGGAGGUGGAGAUUUAUAUGUAUAUAAUGGAGUUAAUUUGGGGUAGAGGUGUGAGUGUUUUGCAUGAUGUGGGGUAUAUUGUGAUUGUGGAUAUUUUGCAUACUUUGGAGGUGGUGGGGAUUUGUAUGUAUAUAAUUGAGUUAAUUUGGGGUAGAGGUGUGAGUGUUUUGCAUGAUGUGAGGUGUAUUUUGAUUGUGGAUAUUUUGCAUACUUUGGAGGUGGUGGGGAUUUGUAUGUAUAUAUUGGAGUUAAUUUUGGAUAGGGAUGUGAAUGUUUUGCAUGUUCAGGGGUGUACUUUGAUUGUGGAUAUUCUACAUGCUUUGUAGGUAAUGGAGAUUUGUGUUUAUAUAAUGGAGUUAAUUUAGGGUAGAGGUGCGAGUGUUUUGCAUGAUAUAGGGUGUAUUGUGAUUGUGGGUGUUUUGCAUAUUUUGGAGGUGGUGGAGAUUUAUAUGCAUAUAAUGGAGUUAAUUUGGGAUAGGGAUGUGAAUGUUUUGCAUGUUUUGGGGUGUACUUUGAUUGUGGAUAUUCUGCAUGCUUCGUAGAGAGUGGAGAUUUGUGUUUAUACAAUGGAGUUAAUUUGUGAUUGAGGUGUGGGUGUUUCGCGUAAUAAUAUGGGGUUUUUUGUGACCGUGGAUAUUCUACAUGCUUUGUAGAUGGUGGAGAGUAGUUGUUUGGCUGGGAUGCAUAAUAUGGUUUAUAAGCAGCAACAUUGAUACUAAUACUAAUUGCAAUUAGGCAAAAUGCAAUUGCAUA